GCCGGCAGCCAUAUCACCCUGGAGCCAAAGACCGGUUGCCCACUGAAGCUAAGCAGGGCUGAGCCUGGUCAGUACCUGGAUGGGAGACCUCCUGGGAAAACUAGGUUGCUGCUGGAA
RNAcentral lists this ribosomal RNA (117 nucleotides) under Carassius auratus (goldfish). Lineage: Eukaryota; Metazoa; Chordata; Actinopteri; Cypriniformes; Cyprinidae. The record is from RNAcentral.